GGCGAAGCCUGACGGAGCAACGCCGCGUGAGAGAAGAAGGCCUUCGGGUUGUAAAUCUCUGUCUUUGGGGAAGAAAGAAAUGACGGUACCCGAGGAGGAAGCCCCGGCUAACUACGUGCCAGCAGCCGCGGUAAAACGUAGGGGGCGAGCGUUGUCCGGAAUUACUGGGCGUAAAGGGCGCGCAGGCGGUCACUUAAGACAGAGGUGAAAACUAUCGGCUCAACCGGUAGCCUGCCUAUGAGACUGAGUGACUUGAGAGCAGGAGAGGGGAGUGGAAUUCCCAGUGUAGCGGUGAAAUGCGUAGAUAUUGGGAGGAACACCAGUGGCGAAGGCGGCUCUCUGGCCUGUUACUGACGCUGAGGCGCGAAAGCGUGGGGAUCAAACAGGAUUAGAUACCCUGGUAGUCCACGCUGUAAACGAUGGGUGCUAGGUGUAGGAGGUAUCGACCCCUUCUGUGCCGUAGUUAACACAAUAAGCACCCCGCCUGGGGAGUACGGCCGCAAGGUUGAAACUCAAAGGAAUGGACGGA
RNAcentral lists this ribosomal RNA (529 nucleotides) under uncultured Pelotomaculum sp. RNAcentral's name for it is "bacterial SSU rRNA". It matches the Rfam family "Bacterial small subunit ribosomal RNA", at positions 374 to 917 of the family's 1533-position model. The record is from RNAcentral. Lineage: Bacteria; Bacillati; Bacillota; Clostridia; Eubacteriales; Desulfotomaculaceae.